Molecule: ribosomal RNA, 800 nt
Filed under: uncultured bacterium
Lineage: Bacteria
Description: bacterial SSU rRNA
Rfam family: Bacterial small subunit ribosomal RNA
Source: RNAcentral
AGAGUUUGAUCAUGGCUCAGGAUAAACGCUGGCGGCGCACAUAAGACAUGCAAGUCGAACGAACUUAACUCAUUCUUUACGAUUGAGAGCGGUUAGUGGCGGACUGGUGAGUAAUACGUAAGCAACCUGCCUAUCAGAGGGGAAUAACAGUGAGAAAUCAUUGCUAAUACCGCAUAUGCUAACAGUAUUGCAUGAUACAGUUAGGAAAGGAGCAAUCCGCUGAUAGAUGGGCUUACGCCUGAUUAGCUAGUUGGUGGGGCAACGGCCUACCAAGGCGACGAUCAGUAGCCGGACUGAGAGGUUGAACGGCCACAUUGGGACUGAGAUACGGCCCAGACUCCUACGGGAGGCAGCAGUCGGGAAUAUUGCGCAAUGGAGGAAACUCUGACGCAGUGACGCCGCGUAUAGGAAGAAGGUUUUCGGAUUGUAAACUAUUGUCGUUAGGGAAGAUAAAAGACUGUACCUAAGGAGGAAGCCCCGGCUAACUAUGUGCCAGCAGCCGCGGUAAUACAUAGGGGGCAAGCGUUAUCCGGAAUUAUUGGGUGUAAAGGGUGCGUAGACGGGGAGACAAGUUGGUUGUGAAAUCCCUCGGCUCAACUGAGGAACUGCAACCAAAACUAUUUCCCUUGAGUGUCGGAGAGGAAAGUGGAAUUCCUAGUGUAGCGGUGAAAUGCGUAGAUAUUAGGAGGAACACCAGUGGCGAAGGCGACUUUCUGGACGAUAACUGACGUUGAGGCACGAAAGUGUGGGGAGCAAACAGGAUUAGAUACCCUGGUAGUCCACACCGUAAACGAUGGAUA